AGACCGUUCGACGCCAAAACAACAGGGAUACAACGGUAGAUGCGGACAGGACGAGGCGCCUCGUCCUGUUUGCAUUUAUCCUUGUGUCCCUGUUGUAUUGGCGUUUAAGUUUAAGCAUGACGGACGGAGCCGACGGAGGAGCGACAAGCGGCGAUGCCCGAGAUCGUCGAGAUGCGGAGUCCGCGAACCACCAAAGCGUGACAUCCGCCUGAUAACGCAGAGCACCGCUUGAGCAACUGUUCUGACGACGGAGAACGACAUCAAAGUAAUCGGUCCGAGCGGUCGAAGGGGUCGCCCACUGGUGUUUCGUUUCAUCGAGCACGGCUCUGAUUGUUGUAUCCAGAGCUCUGCAUUCAUCCACGGCUCUGCAUCCAUCCACCCGGUCCAGCCAUUGAAGGAUCCAGCCAACGUUAAUUCCAGCCGAUCCAGCUAUCGGCUUCAACUGCUUCAGCAGCUUCAAGAACUGUGGCGCUGUGGCUUCAACAUGAGCCUCAAGAAUACAGUGCUGUUUCGUGCAGGUGAGUAUCACUUUAAAUAGUGACGUCUACAAAUGUCUAAUGUUACUGACCAUAGCAGAGUCCCCACGGUGCAAUACCUGUUCCAUGUUUCAUUUAUCACCUGCAGAUAACAGGUGAGCUGACGUGUUUGUUGAAUAUGGCAAUACUGAUUGCGAAAUAGUGAUGGGCUAGUCUACACGAUUAGUAAGGUUGUUGGCUAACAGUGUGCAUGGAACGGAAUCUGAUUAGAACAAAUGCAAUGAAAGCAUUUACGACUCAAAUAUUGAUGCUUAUGAGAAAGCAUCAGUUGCAAAAUGGUGUUGCAUAAUAAGUGAAGUACAAUGCAGUAGCACAUCGUUUUUGGAUUUGGUGUCACUGGUUGGUGUUGCUGGCAUUAUUAAUAAUAUGAAGCUUUCGUCCUGAGCCAGAAUAGAUGGGAUUAACAGCAAGUUCUUAAAAAAUUGUAGUAUGUAUUGUUCAAUAAUUCUUUCAAAACUUUAUAUGCAGUCUCUUAACCAUGGCACAGUCCCGAGCAAUUGGGUGGUGGGAAGGUGGUUUUUUUACAUAAAUGUGGCGAAAAACAAAACGCAUCCAAUUAUCGACCAAUUUCUUUAACAAGUGCGCCAUGUAAAAUAUUUCAACACGUCACUUACUCGCAGUUGAUAAAUUAUCUUGAAACUAAUGACAUCUUCACAAGUUCACAACACGGCUUUAGAAAAUAUUCUUCAUGACAGACGCAACUAC
This 1241-nucleotide unclassified non-coding RNA is filed under the name Ixodes scapularis (black-legged tick). Its description in RNAcentral is "gastrula zinc finger protein XlCGF49.1, transcript variant X8". Lineage: Eukaryota; Metazoa; Arthropoda; Arachnida; Ixodida; Ixodidae. The record is from RNAcentral.